This 839-nucleotide ribosomal RNA is filed under the name Escherichia coli. RNAcentral's name for it is "partial 23S ribosomal RNA". It matches the Rfam family "Bacterial large subunit ribosomal RNA", at positions 401 to 1239 of the family's 2925-position model. Lineage: Bacteria; Pseudomonadati; Pseudomonadota; Gammaproteobacteria; Enterobacterales; Enterobacteriaceae. The record is from RNAcentral.
GAGCUCGAUGAGUAGGGCGGGACACGUGGUAUCCUGUCUGAAUAUGGGGGGACCAUCCUCCAAGGCUAAAUACUCCUGACUGACCGAUAGUGAACCAGUACCGUGAGGGAAAGGCGAAAAGAACCCCGGCGAGGGGAGUGAAAAAGAACCUGAAACCGUGUACGUACAAGCAGUGGGAGCACAGAGCAAUCUGUGUGACUGCGUACCUUUUGUAUAAUGGGUCAGCGACUUAUAUUCUGUAGCAAGGUUAACCGAAUAGGGGAGCCGAAGGGAAACCGAGUCUUAACUGGGCGUUAAGUUGCAGGGUAUAGACCCGAAACCCGGUGAUCUAGCCAUGGGCAGGUUGAAGGUUGGGUAACACUAACUGGAGGACCGAACCGACUAAUGUUGAAAAAUUAGCGGAUGACUUGUGGCUGGGGGUGAAAGGCCAAUCAAACCGGGAGAUAGCUGGUUCUCCCCGAAAGCUAUUUAGGUAGCGCCUCGUGAAUUCAUCUCCGGGGGUAGAGCACUGUUUCGGCAAGGGGGUCAUCCCGACUUACCAACCCGAUGCAAACUGCGAAUACCGGAGAAUGUUAUCACGGGAGACACACGGCGGGUGCUAACGUCCGUCGUGAAGAGGGAAACAACCCAGACCGCCAGCUAAGGUCCCAAAGUCAUGGUUAAGUGGGAAACGAUGUGGGAAGGCCCAGACAGCCAGGAUGUUGGCUUAGAAGCAGCCAUCAUUUAAAGAAAGCGUAAUAGCUCACUGGUCGAGUCGGCCUGCGCGGAAGAUGUAACGGGGCUAAACCAUGCACCGAAGCUGCGGCAGCGACACUGUGUGUUGUUGGGUAGGGGAGCGU